Molecule: long non-coding RNA, 235 nt
Filed under: Elaeis guineensis (African oil palm)
Lineage: Eukaryota; Viridiplantae; Streptophyta; Magnoliopsida; Arecales; Arecaceae
Description: long non-coding RNA (EGUI_LNC006446)
Source: RNAcentral
GGGAUAUGUUUGUAGUUAAAAUAAUGAUGGUCGGAUCCAGCUGACGAGGUCAAGGUAAUUCCAAAUUGUUGCUGGAUGGAGUGCCAAAAAAAGCAGUGACAUAAACAGAAAGUUUCUUCAUAGAACAGUGCCAGAUAGAUCAAAUCAGGUAUAAACCUACAUCAGUCUUAUUUUCUUACCAGAAAUUUUUUUUCCACUCUCUUUUUCCUGGUGUAUGUUGUUCCGAAAGACAAUC